UCUAAUAAUUAAUUGAAGCCAAAGAGAGGCGUAUUACUGUUAAUAAUAAAAUUGAACAAUUAAUGUUCCAAUUAAG
This 76-nucleotide transfer RNA is filed under the name Xenocatantops brachycerus. RNAcentral's name for it is "tRNA-Asn". Lineage: Eukaryota; Metazoa; Arthropoda; Insecta; Orthoptera; Acrididae. The record is from RNAcentral.